UAUACUAACUGCUGUGUUAUUUGUAUUCGCGUGUGGCGAUGCAAAUUAUUCAAAACUAACAAAACUAUUAUUGCUUAUAGGUGUUGCUUGUCCGUAGGUCCACCUUUAUCAAAAAUGUAACGGACUGCUCACAGCCUUUUUU
This 142-nucleotide non-coding RNA is filed under the name Ceratoteleas bidentatus. Lineage: Eukaryota; Metazoa; Arthropoda; Insecta; Hymenoptera; Scelionidae. The record is from RNAcentral.